GGCUGCCUUCUUGUUCACAGCUUUGGUGGAAGAACGAUCUCAGAACUGUUUAUCUCAAUUGGCCGUUUAAGUUUAAUAGUAAAAGACUGGUUAAUGAUAACAAUGCAUCGUAAAGCCUUCACA
This is a long non-coding RNA of Dipodomys spectabilis (banner-tailed kangaroo rat), 123 nucleotides long. RefSeq lists it as uncharacterized. The record is from RefSeq and is a predicted model, not a curated record. The transcript is spliced from 4 exons. NCBI's taxonomy places the organism in Eukaryota, Metazoa, Chordata, Mammalia, Rodentia, Heteromyidae.